CCACAAAGAAGGUGCCAACUGUCCAGUUUUCCACUGCUUUGCUCAGGAGCCCGACCCCCUGUGCCAAGACCUUGCUGAUGUUUGUACAAGCAAAACUGGACUGAUCCUCCCUUACCUGCUUGUGUUUCCUGAGCCAUAAUCCUGUGCUUCAAACAAAAAAAAAGGGAGAAAGUUCACGGAAUGGAAAAACGUUUGGAGAAGAGUGAACACUCUCCCCUUUGCCGGAAGAGAGUCUGAGAAGCGGUCUCAGACCUCAUCUGCAGGGAGGCAGCUCAGGAAGGUGCGCAGUGGCACGGCGAGUGCAGGCAGGGGAGGCAAGGUGAACGCGGGUGCCUACAAGGGACACUGUCUCUUCAUCUCCC
Long non-coding RNA from Bos taurus (domestic cattle), 362 nucleotides. The record is from Ensembl. Lineage: Eukaryota; Metazoa; Chordata; Mammalia; Artiodactyla; Bovidae.